This 253-nucleotide ribosomal RNA is filed under the name uncultured bacterium. Its description in RNAcentral is "partial 16S ribosomal RNA". It matches the Rfam family "Bacterial small subunit ribosomal RNA", at positions 524 to 776 of the family's 1533-position model. The record is from RNAcentral.
UACAGAGGAGCCAAGCGUUGUCCGGAUUGACUGGGCGUAAAGGGUGCGUAGGCGGGUCUUUAAGUCAGGGGUGAAAUCCUGGAGCUCAACUCCAGAACUGCCUUUGAUACUGAGGAUCUUGAGUCCGGGAGAGGUGAGUGGAACUGCGAGUGUAGAGGUGAAAUUCGUAGAUAUUCGCAAGAACACCAGUGGCGAAGGCGGCUCACUGGCCCGGUACUGACGCUGAGGCACGAAAGCGUGGGGAGCAAACAGG